Molecule: ribosomal RNA, 360 nt
Filed under: uncultured Rhodoferax sp.
Lineage: Bacteria; Pseudomonadati; Pseudomonadota; Betaproteobacteria; Burkholderiales; Comamonadaceae
Description: bacterial SSU rRNA
Rfam family: Bacterial small subunit ribosomal RNA
Source: RNAcentral
AAAGAGAGCCGUAACACAGGUGCUGCAUGGCUGUCGUCAGCUCGUGUCGUGAGAUGUUGGGUUAAGUCCCGCAACGAGCGCAACCCUUGUCAUUAGUUGCUACAUUCAGUUGGGCACUCUAAUGAGACUGCCGGUGACAAGCCGGAGGAAGGUGGGAUGACGUCAAGUCCUCAUGGCCCUUAUAGGUGGGGCUACACACGUCAUACAAUGGCUGGUACAAAGGGUUGCCAACCCGCGAGGGGGAGCCAAUCCCAUAAAGCCAGUCGUAGUCCGGAUCGUAGUCUGCAACUCGACUACGUGAAGUCGGAAUCGCUAGUAAUCGUGGAUCAGAAUGUCACGGUGAAUACGUUCCCGGGUCUU